Molecule: ribosomal RNA, 433 nt
Filed under: uncultured bacterium
Lineage: Bacteria
Description: partial 16S ribosomal RNA
Rfam family: Bacterial small subunit ribosomal RNA
Source: RNAcentral
AACGAACGCUGGCGGCAGGCUUAACACAUGCAAGUCGAACGCACCUUUCGGGGUUAGUGGCAGACGGGUGAGUAACGCGUGGGAAUCUACCCUUCUCUACGGGAUAGCUCCGGGAAACUGGAAUUAAUACCGUAUACGUCCUGAGGGAGAAAGAUGUAUCGGGGCAGGAUGAGCACGCGUUGGAUUAGCUAGUUGGUGGGGUAAAGGCCUACCAAGGCGACGAUCCAUAGCUGGUCUAAGAGGAUGAUCAGCCACAUUGGGAAUGCGACACGGCCCAAACUCGUACGGGAGGCAGCAGUGGGGAAUAUUGGAGAAGGAGCGCAAGCCUGAUCCAGCCAUGCGGCGUGAGUGAUGAAGGCGCUAGGGUUGUGAAGCUCUUUCAGUGGGGACGAUAAUGACGGUACCCACAGAAGAAGCCCCGGCUAACUUCGUG